GGAGUCUAGCAUGUGCGCGAGUCAUUGGGAACGUUGCGAAACCUAGAGGCGCAAUGAAAGUGAAGACUGAGGGCGGCCGCGGCGGCGGCGGCGACUACCCGUCGUCGUCGUCGUCGUCGUCGUCCUCGCUAAGAGUUCAGGGAGGAUGGGUCCGGCAAAGUCGUCCGGACCUCGCACUCCCGGGGCGUCUCGUUCUCCCGCCGUCGACGUCGUCGUCGUGUCGUGUCAAAGCGUGCGGCGGCGGCGGUGGCGGCGAUGAGAUGAGGCGCACCCAGAGCGUACACGCUGGGACCCGAAAGAUGGUGAACUAUGCCUGGUCAGGACGAAGUCAGGGGAAACCCUGAUGGAGGUCCGUAGCGAUUCUGACGUGCAAAUCGAUCGUAAGAACUGGGUAUAGGGGCGAAAGACUAAUCGAACCGUCUAGUAGCUGGUUCCCUCCGAAGUUUCCCUCAGGAUAGCUGGCGCUCGUUGCUUCCCCGGGGCGGAUUCGAGUUCUCUCUUCUCCGUCUCGCGGGCGCGCGAGUCUCAUCUGGUAAAGCGAAUGAUUAGAGGCAUUGGGGUCGAAACGGCCUCAACCUAUUCUCAAACUUUAAAUGGGUGAGAUCUCCGGCUUGCUUGAAACUAAUAAUGUGAAGCCGCGAGAUCGGAUCAGAGUGCCAAGUGGGCCAAUUUUGGUAAGCAGAACUGGCGCUGUGGGAUGAACCAAACGUUGAGUUAAAGCGCCUAAAUCGACGCUUAUGGGAUACCAUGAAAGGCGUUGGUAACUUAAGACAGCAGGACGGUGGCCAUGGAA
This 793-nucleotide ribosomal RNA is filed under the name Melasis buprestoides. RNAcentral describes it as "eukaryotic LSU rRNA". It matches the Rfam family "Eukaryotic large subunit ribosomal RNA", at positions 670 to 1259 of the family's 3401-position model. Lineage: Eukaryota; Metazoa; Arthropoda; Insecta; Coleoptera; Eucnemidae. The record is from RNAcentral.